This is a long non-coding RNA of Lucilia cuprina (Australian sheep blowfly), 563 nucleotides long. RefSeq lists it as uncharacterized. The transcript has 3 exons. The record is from RefSeq and is a predicted model, not a curated record. NCBI's taxonomy places the organism in Eukaryota, Metazoa, Arthropoda, Insecta, Diptera, Calliphoridae.
AAUUCUAUUACAGGGUCAAUUUAGUUAUGCCUGUGUGAUUGUAGAGCCUUUGGAGUUAAACACCAAUCGUAUCUAUGUUAAGGCUCGUCCAGAAAUUGCUGAUUUUGUUUGUCAUCCCGGACCUAAAAUUGUAUCCGAUAAAAGUGCUCCUCUAUUAGCUCGGCAAUUGGCUUUGCAUGCUAAUCUGGCUUCAAAUGUUUAUCAAAGUUUACAAAAGAAAAAUCCCUAUGCUUCCAACUGGUUGGAACGUCUACGCAGCAUUAAACGUUUACGCACUAAGCUACUUGAAAAUCAAAAUCGUGGCGGUUCUACCGCUGCCAAUGCCGAUAUUGACGAUAAACAAAAUACAAAUCGCGAUUUUUCGAAAUACACUUAAGUUUUUUUUCGCGUUUUUUUUGUUUUUUAUUUCAUUUAAAUUGUAUUUAAGCGUGUUCGCUUUUUUCCAAAUUAAACGUUGCCGCUUUCUUUGUUAAGUAGACUCUAAGGUAAAGUAAUCGUAACGAUAUAUAAACACGUAUUUUACGAAUAAAUAAAAAAACGCUUUGUAGCUUUUCUAAAAAAAA